Molecule: non-coding RNA, 27 nt
Filed under: Mus musculus (house mouse)
Lineage: Eukaryota; Metazoa; Chordata; Mammalia; Rodentia; Muridae
Source: RNAcentral
UGUGAACCAAGAACUGCUCAGUGGACA